GGUGCCGUUGGUGUUAUUUGCCGGGAUGACCAAGGGCUAUUCAAGGGGGCUUCAGCGGUAGUUUUUGAAGGAGUGACGGACCCGGCCACUCUCGAGGCCUAUGCAUGCCGAGAAGCCUUGGUUCUCGCUGAAGAUCUCGGUUUACGCAAGCUUAAGAUAGCUUCAGACUGUCUGACAGUCAUCAAUGAUCUUCAUGCACCCAUCCAGAUGGGAGGCUACUGUAUGGUUUUGAAGGAGAUUCAAACCCGACGUACACAGUUUCAGGCUAGUGAAUUUAGCCACGAACAGCGCACAUGUAAUAAGGAGGCACAUCACAUAGCCAGAUAUGCGACUACUUUACAUCCUGGGCGCCAUCUUUGGCUGCUCGAGCCACCUGUUGGCCUUUGUAUUCCUACCAACAUUUCUACUUAA
RNAcentral lists this ribosomal RNA (411 nucleotides) under Triticum aestivum (bread wheat). RNAcentral's name for it is "partial small subunit ribosomal RNA". The record is from RNAcentral. Lineage: Eukaryota; Viridiplantae; Streptophyta; Magnoliopsida; Poales; Poaceae.